AUACUACUCCCUCCGUCCGUAAAUACUUGUCAUCAAAAUGGAUAAAAAGGGAUGUAUCUAGAACUAAAAUACGUCUAGAUACAUCCCCUUUUAUCCAUUUUGGUGACAAAUAUUUCCGGAUGGAGGGAGUAUAUU
Molecule: non-coding RNA, 135 nt
Organism: Triticum aestivum (bread wheat)
Lineage: Eukaryota; Viridiplantae; Streptophyta; Magnoliopsida; Poales; Poaceae
Source: Rfam